UGCCCUAGUAACGGCGAGUGAAGCGGCAACAGCUCAAAUUUGAAAUCUGGCGCAAGCCCGAGUUGUAAUUUGUAGAGGAUGCUUCUGGGCAGCGGCCGGUCUAAGUUCCUUGGAACAGGACGUCACAGAGGGUGAGAAUCCCGUAUGUGACCGGCGCGCACCCUCCACGUAGCUCCUUCGACGAGUCGAGUUGUUUGGGAAUGCAGCUCUAAAUGGGAGGUAAAUUUCUUCUAAAGCUAAAUACCGGCCAGAGACCGAUAGCGCACAAGUAGAGUGAUCGAAAGAUGAAAAGCACUUUGGAAAGAGAGUUAAAAAGCACGUGAAAUUGUUGAAAGGGAAGCGCUUGCAACCAGACUCCGUGGCGGUGUUCCGCCGGUCUUCUGACCGGUCCACUCGCCGCCGCGGGGCCAACAUCGUCUGGGGCCGCCGGACAAGACUGGAGGAAUGUGGCUCCCUCGGGAGUGUUAUAGCCUUCAGUGAUGCGGCGCGUCCCGGGCGAGGUCCGCGCUUCGGCAAGGAUGUUGGCGUAAUGGUUGCCAGCGGCCCGUCUUGAAACACGGACCAAGGAGUCUAACAUCUAUGCGAGUGUUCGGGUGUCAAACCCCUACGCGUAAUGAAAGUGAACGGAGGUGGGAGCUUCGGCGCACCAUCGACCGAUCCUGAUGUCCUCGGAUGGAUUUGAGUAAGAGCAUAGCUGUUGGGACCCGAAAGAUGGUGAACUAUGCCUGAAUAGGGUGAAGCCAGAGGAAACUCUGGUGGAGGCUCGCAGCGGUUCUGACGUGCAAAUCGAUCGUCAAAUUUGGGUAUAGGGGCGAAAGAC
This 820-nucleotide ribosomal RNA is filed under the name Microcyclosporella mali. Its description in RNAcentral is "eukaryotic LSU rRNA". It matches the Rfam family "Eukaryotic large subunit ribosomal RNA", at positions 76 to 931 of the family's 3401-position model. Lineage: Eukaryota; Fungi; Ascomycota; Dothideomycetes; Mycosphaerellales; Mycosphaerellaceae. The record is from RNAcentral.